CAGGGAUGACUGACUGCUUGGCCAAUCAAAGACCAGUAAUUAUUUUCACCUGUGUUAGACACACCUUUGUUCGUCUCCCCCAGACCAUUUUCAUUCGAUUCUUUUACCACGUGAGACCGUAACGUUACCCGCUUCUUCUCACGGACUCGCACCGUAACCAGAAAUAUCUACACACGGCAAGGGCUGCCGAAGGGAGAUGCCAACCGUUACCGCUUCGCGACAACAGCCCGGGAUCCGGAGAUGUCAAGAAAUAUCCUGGGUAAUCUACAAGACGACCCACGGCGUUUUAUACCGGAAUGAAACCGCACGCCGAAAUAUCUCCAAUCGGUCGGUAAAGAUGGCAAGGGCUGAGGAAGGGAGUCACAAAGACUCACUGUAACGCGGGUGCUUCACGACACGUACGCGUUCCGGGAGACGUCGGGAGAAUCUCCGGGUUCAUCUUUGAGGAGCUCGAUAUCCGCGGUGUUCAAAACAGCAGACGUACGGCAUGGUCUUCCCCAGACAUUUGACAAGAAAUGUCCGGACGUACUAAGGGAGGAGCUGGGUAAGGAAGGUGUCAGGCGCCACCGUCACUGAAGAUGCUUCGCGACAUCAGUGCAGCACCAAGACACGGAGGCGUCAAACCCUACACGUCGAAGAAGCGGAGAAGACGACGUCUCUCAACAUCUUCCAGGAUCAACUACAGCUGAAAUGUCCAUGGUGGGACUGAUCCCGAUGAGAGGUCGUCUAAUACCAAGUACAUCGUGCCUGUAUGCCGAUACCGCAGAAACAGACUGUGUGUAGACGUAGCCACUGCUCUCAGAAUGUCCUAACCCCUACCAGCAACAUUACUCGUGGUGUCAUCAGAACGUUCUCAACACCUUGCCGCCCAUCAAGAGAUCAUGAUUCUCCCCGCUGAUAAUGCUUCAGGUAGUCAGAGGAAAAAGUACAUUUCUAGGUUGCUACCCCAAGCACUUCACUAUAAAGAAUUAAAAGUGUUGAUUUUUCCUUGCAUUCCGUCGUCUUUGUUUUCCGCUGUUCAACAAAGGUAAAUGAUAUCUCUUCAGCAAAUCUUUUUAUGAUAGGCGAGCUUUGAAUGAAAGUCUUCAGACAUCCGAGUAUUGCACACAAACAUUUAAUAAGACGAGAUAAUCCUUUGUCGUAACACCAAACAAGUAUUGUCAUGCAAAUAUGUUUUCCGGAAUAUUCUUCGGAUCCUUUAAAAUAAGAGAUCUGGGCGUCAACACAUGUUAACAAACAUUAUAUCGUCUUCCAUAGACCUAUAUGUGGUAUGCACUGUCGAUGGAAAAAAAUCAGCACAAGAUAAUAUAAUAGAAAUCUCAUUGCAAUUUUUAGAAGCAUU
Branchiostoma floridae (Florida lancelet) is the source of this 1342-nucleotide long non-coding RNA. RefSeq lists it as uncharacterized. Lineage: Eukaryota; Metazoa; Chordata; Leptocardii; Amphioxiformes; Branchiostomatidae. The record is from RefSeq and is a predicted model, not a curated record. The transcript is spliced from 3 exons.